Molecule: ribosomal RNA, 332 nt
Filed under: uncultured eukaryote
Lineage: Eukaryota
Description: partial 18S ribosomal RNA
Rfam family: Eukaryotic small subunit ribosomal RNA
Source: RNAcentral
CCCUUAGAUGUUCUGGGCCGCACGCGCGCUACACUGUUCGACGCAGCGAGUCUUAACCUUGACCGAAAGGUUUGGGUAAUCUUCAGCAAAGUCGAACGUGAUGGGGAUCGAUCAUUGUAAUUAUUGAUCGUGAACGAGGAAUUCCUAGUAAGUGCAAGUCAUCAGCUUGCGCUGAUUACGUCCCUGCCCUUUGUACACACCGCCCGUCGCUACUACCGAUUGAAUGGUUUAGUGAGAUCUCUGGAUUGACGCUGGCUAGGGGGCGACCCUUGGCCAGACUGCUCGAGAAACUGCUCAAACUUGAUCAUUUAGGGGAAGUAAAAGUCGUAACA